UGAAUGAAGUCAGUGGGCUUGUCAUCCUUCCUGUGGAUGAUCUGGAUGAGGCAUGUCUCCAAGCCUUCCAUCUACAGAGGCCAAUGUUGUUUCUGAUUGCUGAGGAGGAGAAUGAAGAUCUCCACAAAUUCUUAAGAUCACUCAGUAAUUCUGCAGAAGAAAUGGAAGCAGACUUUCCGCUCAUUGCUUUCAU
This is a long non-coding RNA of Actinia tenebrosa (Australian red waratah sea anemone), 193 nucleotides long. NCBI's taxonomy places the organism in Eukaryota, Metazoa, Cnidaria, Anthozoa, Actiniaria, Actiniidae. The record is from RefSeq and is a predicted model, not a curated record.